Molecule: non-coding RNA, 219 nt
Organism: Vicia faba (fava bean)
Lineage: Eukaryota; Viridiplantae; Streptophyta; Magnoliopsida; Fabales; Fabaceae
Source: the annotation of a GenBank genome assembly
AUGAGGGUUGAAGAUGAAGAUGAGAAUUCAUCCCAAAAAUCUCGGAGAGAUUCCAAGCAGUGGAAAUUUUGUUACAAAUUGGAGCUUCUCAUCCCUUGGAUCGAAAGUUGGUUACUGAAAUGGAGGGCUGAGAUUGAAUCACGAUUGAGAGGUUUUCGGAAAGAUUAUAACAUUUUGAAACAGGGCAGGGCUGAUUAUUUUACGUCGAAGAUGGUUUAA